CAGUCGCCACGGUAAUACGAAGGGUGCAAGCGUUACUCGGAAUUACUGGGCGUAAAGCGUGCGUAGGCGGCUUCUUAAGUCGGAUGUGAAAUCCCUGAGCUUAACUUAGGAAUUGCAUUCGAUACUGGGAAGCUAGAGUAUGGGAGAGGAUGGUAGAAUUCCAGGUGUAGCGGUGAAAUGCGUAGAGAUCUGGAGGAAUACCGAUGGCGAAGGCAGCCAUCUGGCCUAAUACUGACGCUGAGGUACGAAAGCAUGGGGAGCAAACAGGAUUAGAUACCCCAGUAGUCCCUGUCUCUUAUAA
Molecule: ribosomal RNA, 301 nt
Filed under: uncultured bacterium
Lineage: Bacteria
Description: partial 16S ribosomal RNA
Rfam family: Bacterial small subunit ribosomal RNA
Source: RNAcentral